This 439-nucleotide ribosomal RNA is filed under the name uncultured bacterium. Its description in RNAcentral is "partial 16S ribosomal RNA". It matches the Rfam family "Bacterial small subunit ribosomal RNA", at positions 338 to 795 of the family's 1533-position model. The record is from RNAcentral.
CCUACGGGAGGCAGCAGUGGGGAAUAUUGGGCAAUGGGCGCAAGCCUGACCCAGCAACGCCGCGUGAAGGAAGAAGGCUUUCGGAUUGUAAACUCCUUUUGUUAGAGAAGAUAAUGACGGUAUCUAACGAAUAAGCACCGGCUAACUCCGUGCCAGCAGCCGCGGUAAUACGGGGGGUGCAAGCGUUACUCGGAAUCACUGGGCGUAAAGAGCGCGUAGGCGGAAUAUCAAGUCAGCGGUAAAAAUUCGGGGCUCAACCCCGUCGUGCCGUUGAAACUGAUGUUCUUGAGUGGGCGAGAAGUAUGCGGAAUGCGUGGUGUAGCGGUGAAAUGCAUAGAUAUCACGCAGAACUCCGAUUGCGAAGGCAGCAUACCGGCGCCCAACUGACGCUGAAGCACGAAAGCGUGGGUAUCGAACAGGAUUAGAUACCCGAGUAGUC